CGUAUCACCCAAGACAACUUUACGGAGUUGACGAUUGACGGAGCGAAGCGACGUCAAAGCGUUCAUUAAAGUCGAGUUGGCUUAGGGAUACGUUCGUUGGGUAGGGGAGCGUUCUGUAAGCCUGUGAAGGUGUGUCGUGAGGCAUGCUGGAGGUAUCAGAAGUGCGAAUGCUGACAUAAGUAACGAUAAAGCGGGUGAAAAGCCCGCUCGCCGGAAGACCAAGGGUUCCUGUCCAACGUUAAUCGGGGCAGGGUGAGUCGACCCCUAAGGCGAGGCCGAAAGGCGUAGUCGAUGGGAAACGGGUUAAUAUUCCCGUACUUGGUGUUACUGCGAAGGGGGGACGGAGAAGGCUAUGUUGGCCGGGCGACGGUUGUCCCGGUUUAAGCGUGUAGGUGUGUGUUCCAGGUAAAUCCGGUUCACUUUAACACUGAGGCGUGACGACGAGGCACUACGGUGCUGAAGCAACAAAUGCCCUGCUUCCAGGAAAAGCCUCUAAGCAUCAGGUAACACGAAAUCGUACCCCAAACCGACACAGGUGGUCAGGUAGAGAAUACCAAGGCGCUUGAGAGAACUCGGGUGAAGGAACUAGGCAAAAUGGUGCCGUAACUUCGGGAGAAGGCACGCUGACACGUAGGUGAAGUGAUUUACUCAUGGAGCUGAAGUCAGUCGAAGAUACCAGCUGGCUGCAACUGUUUAUUAAAAACACAGCACUGUGCAAACACGAAAGUGGACGUAUACGGUGUGACGCCUGCCCGGUGCCGGAAGGUUAAUUGAUGGGGUCAGCGUAAGCGAAGCUCCUGAUCGAAGCCCCGGUAAACGGCGGCCGUAACUAUAACGGUCCUAAGGUAGCGAAAUUCCUUGUCGGGUAAGUUCCGACCUGCACGAAUGGCGUAAUGAUGGCCAGGCUGUCUCCACCCGAGACUCAGUGAAAUUGAACUCGCUGUGAAGAUGCAGUGUACCCGCGGCAAGACGGAAAGACCCCGUGAACCUUUACUAUAGCUUGACACUGAACAUUGAGCCUUGAUGUGUAGGAUAGGUGGGAGGCUUUGAAGUGUGGACGCCAGUCUGCAUGGAGCCGACCUUGAAAUACCACCCUUUAAUGUUUGAUGUUCUAACGUGGACCCGUAAUCCGGGUUGCGGACAGUGUCUGGUGGGUAGUUUGACUGGGGCGGUCUCCUCCUAAAGAGUAACGGAGGAGCACGAAGGUUGGCUAAUCCUGGUCGGACAUCAGGAGGUUAGUGCAAUGGCAUAAGCCAGCUUGACUGCGAGCGUGACGGCGCGAGCAGGUGCGAAAGCAGGUCAUAGUGAUCCGGUGGUUCUGAAUGGAAGGGCCAUCGCUCAACGGAUAAAAGGUACUCCGGGGAUAACAGGCUGAUACCGCCCAAGAGUUCAUAUCGACGGCGGUGUUUGGCACCUCGAUGUCGGCUCAUCACAUCCUGGGGCUGAAGUAGGUCCCAAGGGUAUGGCUGUUCGCCAUUUAAAGUGGUACGCGAGCUGGGUUUAGAACGUCGUGAGACAGUUCGGUCCCUAUCUGCCGUGGGCGCUGGAGAACUGAGGGGGGCUGCUCCUAGUACGAGAGGACCGGAGUGGACGCAUCACUGGUGUUCGGGUUGUCAUGCCAAUGGCACUGCCCGGUAGCUAAAUGCGGAAGAGAUAAGUGCUGAAAGCAUCUAAGCACGAAACUUGCCCCGAGAUGAGUUCUCCCUGAGACUUAG
RNAcentral lists this ribosomal RNA (1715 nucleotides) under Salmonella enterica. RNAcentral describes it as "partial 23S ribosomal RNA". It matches the Rfam family "Bacterial large subunit ribosomal RNA", at positions 1154 to 2824 of the family's 2925-position model. Lineage: Bacteria; Pseudomonadati; Pseudomonadota; Gammaproteobacteria; Enterobacterales; Enterobacteriaceae. RNAcentral also lists the same sequence under 3 other names. The record is from RNAcentral.